AGACAGUGAAUUAUGCCUGGGCAGGGCAAAGCCAGAGGAAACUCUGGUGGAGGUCCGUAGCAGUCCUGACGUGCAAAUCAGUUGUCCAACCUGGGUAUAGGGAUGAAAGACUAAUCAAACCUUCUAGUAG
This 130-nucleotide non-coding RNA is filed under the name Loxodonta africana (African savanna elephant). RNAcentral describes it as "Eukaryotic large subunit ribosomal RNA". It matches the Rfam family "Eukaryotic large subunit ribosomal RNA", at positions 821 to 950 of the family's 3401-position model. Lineage: Eukaryota; Metazoa; Chordata; Mammalia; Proboscidea; Elephantidae. The record is from Rfam by way of RNAcentral.